Molecule: ribosomal RNA, 441 nt
Filed under: uncultured bacterium
Lineage: Bacteria
Description: partial 16S ribosomal RNA
Rfam family: Bacterial small subunit ribosomal RNA
Source: RNAcentral
CCUACGGGAGGCUGCAGUGGGGAAUAUUGCACAAUGGGGGAAACCCUGAUGCAGCGACGCCGCGUGAGUGAAGAAGUAUUUCGGUAUGUAAAGCUCUAUCAGCAGGGAAGAAGAAAGACGGUACCUGACUAAGAAGCCCCGGCUAACUACGUGCCAGCAGCCGCGGUAAUACGUAGGGGGCAAGCGUUAUCCGGAUUUACUGGGGGGAAAGGGAGCGUAGACGGCUGGGCAAGGUUGAAGUGAAAGCCCAGGGCUCAACCCUGGGACUGCUUUGGAAACUGUGGAGCUAGAGUGCUGGAGAGGUAAGUGGAAUUCCUAGUGUAGCGGUGAAAUGCGUAGAUAUUAGGAGGAACACCAGUGGCGAAGGCGGCUUACUGGACAGUAACUGACGUUGAGGCUCGAAAGCGUGGGGAGCAAACAGGAUUAGAUACCCUUGUAGUC